AGAGCACAGCCACUGCCCAUCAAGCACAGUUAUAAAGGUAGAAAACUCUUUGAGUCUGUACUCAGUCUUUUGUCUGUCCAACUGCCUGAACUUCAGUCAGUGCAGUCACUAUGAUGGCGAAAUCGCUGCUACUUUUUUUUGUGGCUUUUAUUGUCGCUACAGAAGAGGCCAGUCUUUACUUGGCAGAUUCUAAUUCAAAAUUCUUAGAGCUCUGUGACUGGCCUGGAACAGUGUGUCGAAAGUACUCCUGCAAUCCACAAGAGGAGUUUUUCCCACUGCACUGCCACAACGGGCUGGAAUGCUGCAGACUGGACACAAAACCUGAAUUCCAAUGAUGAGGUCCCAUUGGCUCACACUCUUCCUUCUCACUGAUUGAAGACCCUCACUAGAAGCAGGUGACGUCUUAUGUUUUAGCUUCGAAGCACUGACUCUACGUCGCUGAAUGAAGGCUGUAUUCAGAAACAAAAAUUAAAUAAACUUUCCAUCUGUGCUUUAUCA
Long non-coding RNA from Stegostoma tigrinum, 498 nucleotides. RefSeq lists it as uncharacterized. Lineage: Eukaryota; Metazoa; Chordata; Chondrichthyes; Orectolobiformes; Stegostomatidae. The transcript is spliced from 2 exons. The record is from RefSeq and is a predicted model, not a curated record.